AGUUAGUCGCGUAGGGUACAGAGGUAAGAUGUUCUAUCUUUCAGACCUUUUACUUCACGUAAUCGGAUUUGGCUGAAUAUUUUAGCCCCCCCCCCCCCCCCCCCCCCCGCCGGGGGGGG
RNAcentral lists this non-coding RNA (119 nucleotides) under Escherichia coli MS 198-1. Lineage: Bacteria; Pseudomonadati; Pseudomonadota; Gammaproteobacteria; Enterobacterales; Enterobacteriaceae. The record is from RNAcentral.